Molecule: long non-coding RNA, 953 nt
Filed under: Rattus norvegicus (Norway rat)
Lineage: Eukaryota; Metazoa; Chordata; Mammalia; Rodentia; Muridae
Description: long non-coding RNA NONRATT030467
Source: RNAcentral
CAGGUUUCAGAUCUCAAGUUUUCAAAAGUCAGAAAUUUCCUGCCCUAAAGAUGUUGAGCUCAGAAGCUAAUUGCUGUAGGUUCAGAGUGCCCACACUCUUUAGACUUGUAGCUCCCAAACUUUAGGUUUGAGGACCACCUUCGGCUCCUUAACUCUAGGUGACUCUGUCAACCUCCUUUAGUGACCAUGAUCUUCAGCCCCUAGAGUCUCAGCUACCAUCUUCAACUCUUCAGAGUCUCUUGCUGCCUCCAUACUCCUGCCUUCCUUCAUAUUCAGAGCUUGUUGCACUGUCUACCUUUGCUUUCUCUAUGAAACUCUUAGUUGCCUCUUGAUAUUACAAUUCCAAUCUUUGGGAAUCAGGGUUCUUAGCUAAGGGUGACUCUCUAGAACAUUGCCACCAUAGCUUACUUAUCAUUGCCACUGUCAGGGCUAAAAAGCAAAAUAUGAAUACAACCUGUCCAGCCUACUCUAUGGGUACAAAAUACCACAGGCUGGUGGCAUAUAGACUAUUCAGGGUAUGGCAUGGAAGCUACACUCAUGUAAUAUCAACAACAUGGACACCUGAACAAGCUCAACACAAUGACAAUACCGGUUGCCAUGCCUGACUGGAUUGGGGAAAUCAUAAAAGGCUCCUCACCAGAUGAAGAACUAUAGACAAACAAUGGCUGCUAAGAGGGCAGAACUAGUCUUCUUCAGGGACAUCAAUCCCAAGAAGUCAACACAUAUACAUAGGACCAAUACUAAAUGCAUAGCAGAUUAUUUCUUUAUACACAUGUGUAUGUAAAUAAAUAUAUAUGUAACAAUCAGAAUUAAAGACAUUGUGAAUUUGAGUGGGACUUGGAAGGAUGUGGGGAGGAAUUGAGGGAAAGAGAGGGGUAAAAAUGAUGUAAAUACAGUACUCAUGUAUGAAAUCUCAAAAAAACACCAAAAUAAUAAAAAGUAUGUAAACCCAG